Manihot esculenta (cassava) is the source of this 2483-nucleotide RNA transcript. It is a transcript of the gene named O-fucosyltransferase 29, with no coding region annotated. Lineage: Eukaryota; Viridiplantae; Streptophyta; Magnoliopsida; Malpighiales; Euphorbiaceae. The transcript is spliced from 10 exons. The record is from RefSeq and is a predicted model, not a curated record.
AAAAAAAAAAAAAAAAAAAAAACUUCUCGCCUCUUCUGAUAAGUUCCACUCUCGUCUCUCUUCUUCAACAGUGAUUCCACAACACCCCCCCCACCCCCCGAUUUUUUAGGGUUUUCAAAUUAAUUUCAGCAUUCUCAUUAUUUACUCAUUUGCAUCUCUCUGACACUGUUUUUGUUUCAGUCUCUGAUUUGAGAAAGUUUGAAAAGGGAGCGAGAGCUCCCUGCAUUUUCUGUUUUCUCGGCCGUCGAGUAUUGAGGUGCGGUGGUUGCAUUUUCACUAAAUAAAGGAUGAUAAAAGGGGCAGGAUUGGGAAUCUAUGGGAGUGGCCAAAGCGUGGAGUUUUAGCGAGAUAUCGGCGAACCUGGCACUUUUACACCAACAAAACGGUAACCAAAGCCCCAGCAGAAUCGCCGGAGGCGAGAGCAAGCAUCACCACCACCAUCACUACCGCCAUCAUAGACAUAAUGACUGGUGGCGGAGGUGGAGAUCCCUUGCCACGCAGCAACGCAAGAAGAUCCCGUGGUCGCUAGUUUGCGGGUUAAUGCUGUUCAUUUUGGGAUUGAUUUCGCUUUUCGCUGGACAUGUGGCCUCUGAUCUUGAGUGGUACUCUCAAAGAUUGGUCACACACAGCUUGGGCCGACUGGGUGGGAAUCGGCGUGAACCGAUUGAUAUAUGGAAAUCGAAGUACUCUAAGUUCUUCUAUGGAUGCAGUGAAAGAGGACGUAAUUUUGCUCCUGCCAAACGUGAGCAGUCAUCAAAUGGCUAUUUGCUUAUUGCGGCAAGUGGAGGGCUGAACCAACAAAGAACAGGAAUAAUUGAUGCUGUAGUUGUUGCACGGAUUCUUAAUGCUACAUUAGUUGUGCCAGAGUUGGAUCACCACUCCUAUUGGAAAGAUGAUAGUGACUUCGUCAACAUUUUCGAUGUUAAUUGGUUCAUUUCCUACCUUGCAAAAGAUGUGACCAUUGUCAAAAGAGUUCCUGAUAAAGUCAUGCGAUCAAUGGAAAAACCUCCAUAUACAAUGCGUGUUCCAAGAAAAUCACCCUCUGAAUAUUAUCUAGAUCAAGUUCUGCCUAUACUAUUAAGGAGACGAGUUGUGCAAUUGACCAAGUUCGAUUACAGGCUUGCAAAUGACCUUGAUGAUGAAAAUCUUCAAAAGUUGCGUUGCCAAGUUAAUUAUCAUGCUUUAAGAUUUGCAAAACCCAUACAAGAUAUUGGUCAAAGACUUGUUAUGAAAAUGAGAAAGAUGGCAAAACGAUUUAUUGCAAUUCACUUGAGGUUUGAACCUGAUAUGCUUGCAUUCUCUGGAUGUUAUUAUGGUGGGGGUGAAAAGGAGAAAUUUGAGCUUGGUGAAAUAAGAAAGAGAUGGAAAACGUUACCAGACUUGAGUGCAAAGGAAGAGCGAGCUAGAGGGAAAUGCCCGCUUACCCCUUAUGAAGUGGGAUUAAUGCUGCGUGCUCUUGGAUUUACUAAUGACACAUAUAUCUAUGUUGCAUCUGGAGAAAUAUAUGGUGGAGAAGAUACCCUGCGGCCACUUAGAGAACUCUUCCCAAACUUCUACACAAAGGAGAUGCUUGCUAAUGAAGAAUUGGAACACUUUCUUCCAUUUUCUUCCCGCUUGGCAGCCAUUGACUACAUUGUCUGCGAUGAAAGUGAUGUUUUUGUCACCAAUAAUAAUGGAAACAUGGCCAAGAUUCUUGCAGGUCAAAGGAGGUAUGCAGGGCAUAAGAGGACCAUCAGACCAAAUGCGAAGAGGCUCAGUGCAUUGUUAAUGAAAAGGGAUAAGAUGGACUGGGAUACAUUUGCCAAAAAAGUGAAAUCAUGCCAGAAAGGAUUCAUGGGGGAGCCGGAUGAGAUGAAACCUGGACGAGGUGAGUUCCAUGAAUAUCCAUCUCCUUGCAUCUGUGAGAGGCCAUUGGUUGAUGAAGGAAGCAACCAUGAUGAGGAUCAUCUAUUAGAGCAAGUUCCUGUGAAAUCCAAGGCAAAAGUACCAUCAAAAGUAUAUGAAGGAGAAUAGUGAGAAAAGCAUUGGAAAGUCUAAGAACAGAAGCAUGGGAAAAGCUUCAAUAUAUUCUAAAGAGAUACCUAGGAUGAUGAAAGCCUUCCAUAGGUCAACAGAAGACAUAAGCCCAGGAUAUGGUGGAAGAAUUUAUUCCAUAUGGAUAAAAUUUUCUGAGAUAAUUAUGGCUAUACCAACCCUCGGAUGUGGUGAAAUUUUUACACUCAAAUACGGUGAAUGAGUUCUGUUCAGUUUCUCUGGCUGGAUCAAUGUAGAGAAGGAAGGAUCUUUGACAGGAUACGCUCAUAUUAUGCCAAUUUUAGGAGGUCCUGUUUUUGCCGCUCCUAAGUUGUACGCCGUCUCUUUUAUGCCUCCUCCCCUAUUUGAAGUAGGUUUCUCCUUCCUUUUUUGGAUGGGUCGUGAAAUAUUUUGUGUUUCAGAGUACUGUAAGGGAGGUUUAAUUUUUAAAUAUGCUUUUAUUGUUUGUA